AAGGAAUAUUGGACAAUGGAGGCAACUCUGAUCCAGCCAUGCCGCGUGAAGGAAUAAGGCCCUAUGGGUUGUAAACUUCUUUUAGACGGGACAAAACCCCUUUACGUGUAAAGGGCUGAUGGUACUGUCAGAAUAAGCAUCGGCUAACUUCGUGCCAGCAGCCGCGGUAAUACAAAGGAUGCAAGCGUUAUCCGGAAUUAUUGGGUUUAAAGGGUGCGUAGGCGGACUAAUAAGUCAGUGGUGAAAGCCUGCAGCUUAACUGCAGAAUUGCCAUUGAUACUGUUAGUCUUGAGUACAGUUGGGGUAGGCGGAAUGUGUCAUGUAGCGGUGAAAUGCUUAGAUAUGACACAGAACACCGAUUGCGAAGGCAGCUUGCUAAGCUGUAACUGACGCUGAGGCACGAAAGCGUGGGGAGCAAACA
This 421-nucleotide ribosomal RNA is filed under the name uncultured bacterium. RNAcentral's name for it is "bacterial SSU rRNA". It matches the Rfam family "Bacterial small subunit ribosomal RNA", at positions 356 to 774 of the family's 1533-position model. The record is from RNAcentral.